This 621-nucleotide ribosomal RNA is filed under the name uncultured bacterium. RNAcentral's name for it is "bacterial SSU rRNA". It matches the Rfam family "Bacterial small subunit ribosomal RNA", at positions 252 to 866 of the family's 1533-position model. The record is from RNAcentral.
GUGGGGUAACGGCCUACCAAGGCGAUGACGGGUAGCUGGUCUGAGAGGACGAUCAGUCACACUGGGACUGAGAUACUGCCCAGACUCCUACGGGAGGCUGCAGUCGAGAAUCUUCCGCAAUGGGCGAAAGCCUGACGGAGCGACACCGCGUGUAGGAUGAAGGCCUUCGGGUUGUAAACUACUGUCACGCUAUAGGAACUCCCUGUCGUUAAUAGCGGCAGGGCUGACCAAAGCGAGAGGAAGCACCGGCUAACUCCGUGCCAGCAGCCGCGGUAUGACGGAGGGUGCGAACGUUGUUCGGAAUCACUGGGCAUAAAGCGCACGUAGGCGGCUGGGUCAGUCCGUUGUGAAAGCCCUCGGCUCAACCGGGGAAUUGCAAUGGAUACUGCCCGGCUUGAGGACGGUUGGGGUGAGUGGAACUCCUGGUGGAGCGGUGAAAUGCGUAGAUAUCAGGAGGAACACCAGUGGCGAAAGCGGCUCACUGGACCGUAUCUGACGCUGAGGUGCGAAAGCUAGGGUAGCGAACGGGAUUAGAUACCCCGGUAGUCCUAGCCGUAAACGAUGGGCACUAGGUAGAGGGGAUUCCUAUGGUCUUCUCUGCCGUAGCAAAUGUGUUAAGUG